AACCCCUGGUCAGAGGUUUGCCGAUAUCUGCUUUGCAAGCAGGGGGUCGUCGGUUCGAGUCCGAUCGUCUCCA
This 73-nucleotide transfer RNA is filed under the name uncultured Acidimicrobiales bacterium. RNAcentral describes it as "tRNA-Ala-TGC". Lineage: Bacteria; Bacillati; Actinomycetota; Acidimicrobiia; Acidimicrobiales. The record is from RNAcentral.